CGGCCGCUUGCAGGGACAGGCGUCCUGUGGGGCCCAGGCCCGGGGGAGGAGGGGGGUGGCAGGAUCACAGCCUGGGGACUCCAGAAGUCACCUCGCAGGGAGCAAGAUUGCUUUUUUCCGCCACCCGCGGUCAACAGCGCAGAGAGGCCCAAGGGAUGAGGACACCACAGAGCGUUGUGAAGCCCUCGCUGCAGGAGCCGGGCCGAGCCUGACGUCUGUCCUCUCCACGUGCGCACCGGCUUCCGAGGGAGCGGCCGGCCAGUGGCUGCCGCAUGGAACGUCUGCAGAAGCAACCUCUUACCUCCCCGGGGAGCGUCAGCUCCUCCAGAGACUCCAGUGUACCCGGCUCUCCCUCCAACAUCGUGGCCAAGAUGGACAACCAGGUGUUGGGCUACAAAGACCUGGCCGCCAUCCCCAAGGACA
RNAcentral lists this long non-coding RNA (423 nucleotides) under Rattus norvegicus (Norway rat). RNAcentral's name for it is "long non-coding RNA NONRATT011066". The record is from RNAcentral. Lineage: Eukaryota; Metazoa; Chordata; Mammalia; Rodentia; Muridae.